UGGGGAAUAUUGGACAAUGGGGGCAACCCUGAUCCAGCAAUUCUGUGUGCACGAUGAAGGUUUUCGGAUUGUAAAGUGCUUUCAGCAGGGAAGAAAAAAAUGACGGUACCUGCAGAAGAAGCGACGGCUAAAUACGUGCCAGCAGCCGCGGUAAUACGUAUGUCGCAAGCGUUAUCCGGAAUUAUUGGGCAUAAAGGGCAUCUAGGCGGCCAGAUAAGUCUGGGGUGAAAACUUGCGGCUCAACCGCAAGCCUGCCCUGGAAACUAUGUGGCUAGAGUACUGGAGAGGUGGACGGAACUGCACGAGUAGAGGUGAAAUUCGUAGAUAUGUGUAGGAAUGCCGAUGAUGAAGAUAGCUCACUGGACGAUAACUGACGCUGAAGUGCGAAAGCUAGGGGAGCGAACAGGAUUAGAUACCCUGGUAGUCCUAGCUGUAAACGAUGAUUACUGGGUGUGGGCAGGAAGACUGUCUGUGCCGAAGCAAAUGCGAUAAGUAAUCCGCCUGGGGAGUACGGCCGCAAGGCUG
RNAcentral lists this ribosomal RNA (525 nucleotides) under uncultured bacterium. RNAcentral's name for it is "bacterial SSU rRNA". It matches the Rfam family "Bacterial small subunit ribosomal RNA", at positions 355 to 896 of the family's 1533-position model. The record is from RNAcentral.